UACUGGAAACCGGAGCUGAUACCGGAUAAUAUUUUGAACCGCAUGGUUCAAAAGUGAAAGACGGUCUUGCUGUCACUUAUAGAUGGAUCCGCGCUGCAUUAGCUAGUUGGUAAGGUAGCGGCUUACCAAGGCAACGAUGCAUAGCCGACCUGAGAGGGUGAUCGGCCACACUGGAACUGAGACACGGUCCAG
This 192-nucleotide ribosomal RNA is filed under the name uncultured Staphylococcus sp. Its description in RNAcentral is "partial 16S ribosomal RNA". It matches the Rfam family "Bacterial small subunit ribosomal RNA", at positions 148 to 334 of the family's 1533-position model. The record is from RNAcentral. Lineage: Bacteria; Bacillati; Bacillota; Bacilli; Caryophanales; Staphylococcaceae.